GGUUAAGUGACUAAGCGUACAUGGUGGAUGCCUUGGCAGUCAGAGGCGAUGAAGGACGUACUAACCUGCGAUAAGCCGUGAGCAGUCGGUAAGAGACAUUACGACUCACGGAUUUCCGAAUGGGGAAACCCACUCAGCAUAAGCUGGGUAUCGUUACAUGAAUACAUAGUGUAACGAGGCGAACCGGGAGAACUGAAACAUCUAAGUACCCCGAGGAAAAGAAAUCAACCGAGAUUCCCUCAGUAGCGGCGAGCGAACGGGGAUUAGCCCUUAAGCAUCUUGGAAGUUAGUGGAACGGUCCUGGAAAGGCCGGCGAUACAGGGUGAUAGCCCCGUACACGAAAACAACCUUGAUGUGAAAUCGAGUAGGGCGGGACACGUGACAUCCUGUCUGAAUAUGGGGGGACCAUCCUCCAAGGCUAAAUACUCCUGACUGACCGAUAGUGAACCAGUACCGUGAGGGAAAGGCGAAAAGAACCCCUGUGAGGGGAGUGAAAUAGAACCUGAAACCGUGUACGUACAAGCAGUGGGAGCCCUUCGGGGUGACUGCGUACCUUUUGUAUAAUGGGUCAGCGACUUACAUUUUGUAGCGAGGUUAACCGUAUAGGGGAGCCGUAGGGAAACCGAGUCUUAACUGGGCGUCUAGUUGCAAGGUGUAGACCCGAAACCGGGUGAUCUAGCCAUGGGCAGGUUGAAGGUUGAGUAACAUCAACUGGAGGACCGAACCCACUAACGUUGCAAAGUUAGGGGAUGACCUGUGGCUGGGGGUGAAAGGCCAAUCAAACUCGGAGAUAGCUGGUUCUCCCCGAAAGCUAUUUAGGUAGCGCCUCGGACGAAUACUACUGGGGGUAGAGCACUGUUUGGGCUAGGGGGUCAUCCCGACUUACCAACCCCAUGCAAACUCCGAAUACCAGUAAGUAAUAUCCGGGAGACACACGGCGGGUGCUAACGUCCGUCGUGAAGAGGGAAACAACCCAGACCGCCGGCUAAGGUCCCAAAGUUCUGGUUAAGUGGGAAACGAUGUGGGAAGGCUCAGACAGCUAGGAUGUUGGCUUAGAAGCAGCCAUCAUUUAAAGAAAGCGUAAUAGCUCACUAGUCGAGUCGGCCUGCGCGGAAGAUGUAACGGGGCUCAAACCAGGCACCGAAGCCGCGGAUUCACGCUAAGCGUGAGUGGUAGGGGAGCGUUCUGUAAGUCUGCGAAGGUGUAUCGAGAGGUAUGCUGGAGAUAUCAGAAGUGCGAAUGCUGACGUAAGUAACGAUAAAGGGGGUGAAAAGCCUCCUCGCCGGAAGACCAAGGGUUCCUGUCCAACGUUAAUCGGGGCAGGGUGAGUCGACCCCUAAGGUGAGGCCGAAAGGCGUAAUCGAUGGGAAGCAGGUUAAUAUUCCUGCACGACUUGUAAUUGCGAUGGGGGGACGGAGAAGGCUAGGUGGGCCAGGCGACGGUUGUCCUGGUGAAAGUGCGUAGGUGGUGUUUCUAGGCAAAUCCGGAGACACAACACUGAGACACGAGACGAACACACUACGGUGUGGAAGCCAUUGAUGCCCUGCUUCCAGGAAAAGCCUCUAAGCUUCAGAUUACAAGUCAUCGUACCCCAAACCGACACAGGUGGUCGGGUAGAGAAUACCAAGGCGCUUGAGAGAACUCGGGUGAAGGAACUAGGCAAAAUAGUACCGUAACUUCGGGAGAAGGUACGCUCUUGUUGGUGAAGUCCCUUGCGGAUGGAGCUGACGGGAGUCGCAGUGACCAGAUGGCUGGGACUGUUUAUCAAAAACACAGCACUCUGCAAACACGAAAGUGGACGUAUAGGGUGUGACACCUGCCCGGUGCCGGAAGGUUAAUUGAUGGGGUUAGCGCAAGCGAAGCUCUUGAUCGAAGCCCCGGUAAACGGCGGCCGUAACUAUAACGGUCCUAAGGUAGCGAAAUUCCUUGUCGGGUAAGUUCCGACCUGCACGAAUGGUGUAACCAUGGCCAUGCUGUCUCCACCCGAGACUCAGUGAAAUCGAAUUCGCCGUGAAGAUGCGGUGUACCCGCGGCUAGACGGAAAGACCCCGUGAACCUUUACUACAGCUUGGCACUGAACAUUGAACCUACAUGUGUAGGAUAGGUGGGAGGCUUUGAAGGCGUGACGCCAGUUGCGCUGGAGCCGUCCUUGAAAUACCACCCUUGUAUGUUUGAUGUUCUAACGCAGGGCCCUGAAUCGGGCUCGCGGACAGUGCCUGGUGGGUAGUUUGACUGGGGCGGUCUCCUCCCAAAGAGUAACGGAGGAGCACGAAGGUUGGCUAAUCCUGGUCGGACAUCAGGAGGUUAGUGCAAUGGCAUAAGCCAGCUUAACUGCGAGACGGACAGGUCGAGCAGGUACGAAAGUAGGUCAUAGUGAUCCGGUGGUUCUGAAUGGAAGGGCCAUCGCUCAACGGAUAAAAGGUACUCCGGGGAUAACAGGCUGAUACCGCCCAAGAGUUCAUAUCGACGGCGGUGUUUGGCACCUCGAUGUCGGCUCAUCACAUCCUGGGGCUGAAGUCGGUCCCAAGGGUAUGGCUGUUCGCCAUUUAAAGUGGUACGCGAGCUGGGUUCAGAACGUCGUGAGACAGUUCGGUCCCUAUCUGCCGUGGGCGUUGGAUGAUUGAAGGGAGUUGCUCCUAGUACGAGAGGACCGGAGUGAACGAACCUCUGGUGUUCGGGUUGUCACGCCAGUGGCACUGCCCGGUAGCUAAGUUCGGAAUCGAUAACCGCUGAAAGCAUCUAAGCGGGAAGCGAGCCCUGAGAUGAGUCAUCCCUGACCCCUUGAGGGUCCUAAAGGGCCGUUGGAGACCACAACGUUGAUAGGUGGGGUGUGUAAGCGCGGCGACGUGUUGAGCUAACCCAUACUAAUUACCCGUGAGGCUUAACCAU
Molecule: ribosomal RNA, 2889 nt
Filed under: Aeromonas dhakensis
Lineage: Bacteria; Pseudomonadati; Pseudomonadota; Gammaproteobacteria; Aeromonadales; Aeromonadaceae
Description: 23S ribosomal RNA
Rfam family: Bacterial large subunit ribosomal RNA
Source: RNAcentral